Molecule: long non-coding RNA, 334 nt
Organism: Gasterosteus aculeatus aculeatus (three-spined stickleback)
Lineage: Eukaryota; Metazoa; Chordata; Actinopteri; Perciformes; Gasterosteidae
Source: RefSeq, a predicted model, not a curated record
UUGACCGUCACCUUUAGUGGAACUUUUCUUAUUUCUUGUCUGAAUGAGGUUUUGCUUAACAGAUGAAAAACAUGGUGGCUUCACACACGACAUGACUCCAUGCCCCAGUGCUGAGCAGCUCCACACAGCUGGAGUUUGUGGUGGGAGAUACUCCGGAGUUGAGCUCCCCUUCUUGGCUCCAAGCUGCAAACCCCUGCAGAGGGCUGGAGUCUGCGUACACAUAAUUGCUCGUUCCAUUCUGACGAAAAAAAAGAGAGAAAUAAUUUUCAUCAAAAAGGUUUCAGGAGAGUGAAGCCCUAAAUACAGUAUUCACCCCCUCUUCAGAAAACCGUGU